This 429-nucleotide ribosomal RNA is filed under the name Gemmatimonadota bacterium. RNAcentral describes it as "Gemmatimonadetes bacterium partial 16S ribosomal RNA". It matches the Rfam family "Bacterial small subunit ribosomal RNA", at positions 355 to 776 of the family's 1533-position model. Lineage: Bacteria; Pseudomonadati; Gemmatimonadota. The record is from RNAcentral.
UAGGGAAUCUUCGGCAAUGGACGAAAGUCUGACCGAGCAACGCCGCGUGAGUGAAGAAGGUUUUCGGAUCGUAAAACUCUGUUGUUAGAGAAGAACAAGGACGUUAGUAACUGAACGUCCCCUGACGGUAUCUAACCAGAAAGCCACGGCUAACUACGUGCCAGCAGCCGCGGUAAUACGUAGGUGGCAAGCGUUGUCCGGAUUUAUUGGGCGUAAAGCGAGCGCAGGCGGUUUCUUAAGUCUGAUGUGAAAGCCCGCGGCUCAACCGGGGAGGGUCAUUGGAAACUGGGAGACUUGAGUGCAGAAGAGGAGAGUGGAAUUCCAUGUGUAGCGGUGAAAUGCGUAGAUAUAUGGAGGAACACCAGUGGAGAAGGCGGCUCUCUGGUCUGUAACUGACGCUGAGGCUCGAAAGCGUGGGGAGCAAACAGG